RNAcentral lists this long non-coding RNA (470 nucleotides) under Olea europaea subsp. europaea. The record is from RNAcentral. Lineage: Eukaryota; Viridiplantae; Streptophyta; Magnoliopsida; Lamiales; Oleaceae.
CCUGCCUUCUGAUUUGUGAAUGUCGUCCUAUGGGAGAUUGGCUCGAUGUUGUGGCAGAUGAACAACCAUAGGAUGGCUAUAGAAGGGGUGAGGUCAAUCUGAUACCAAUCUGCAGUAGGGAGAGACCAAGCAUUUUCACGUCCCAAUAAAACUUCUGCAACCUCAACCCAGUUGAAAUCAUGCGGGACUGGGACUACAUUAGUCCAAGUGAGCUGAUAGUAGUUAUGAAUUACUUCAAGUGAAAACAUGAUCCAUUUGCCCCGAACCCAUGUUUGAUGCAGAUGAUCGAAUCCAGGUGUGUCUAUUUCGGUAUUGAAGUUGGCAUAGAAUUCCCUCACCAAAUUUUCAUAGAUGGGGUGUGGUCUUUCAAUCACUUUCUCCCAACCACAGUUGUGGAUUAAAUAAACCAAUUCAAAACCCUGGAAAUUAUCCAACUUAACUGGUCUUUCGGGGAUGAGUGCCCACUCACG